AGAAUCAACGCUGGCGGCGUGCCUAACACAUGCAAGUCGAACGAGAAAGUGGAGCAAUCCAUGAGUAAAGUGGCGCACGGGUGAGUAACACGUGACUAACCUACCCUUGAGUGGGGAAUAACUUCGGGAAACCGGGGCUAAUACCGCAUAACACCUACGGGUCAAAGGAGCAAUUCGCUUAAGGAGGGGGUCGCGGCAGAUUAGUUAGUUGGCGGGGUAAUGGCCCACCAAGACGGUGAUCUGUA
Molecule: ribosomal RNA, 245 nt
Filed under: uncultured bacterium
Lineage: Bacteria
Description: partial small subunit ribosomal RNA
Rfam family: Bacterial small subunit ribosomal RNA
Source: RNAcentral